AGCGCAGGCGGACCGGCAAGUUGGAAGUGAAAACUAUGGGCUCAACCCAUAAAUUGCUUUCAAAACUGCUGGCCUUGAGUAGUGCAGAGGUAGGUGGAAUUCCCGGUGUAGCGGUGGAAUGCGUAGAUAUCGGGAGGAACACCAGUGGCGAAGGCGACCUACUGGGCACCAACUGACGCUGAGGCUCGAAAGCAUGAGUAGCAAACA
This 207-nucleotide ribosomal RNA is filed under the name uncultured bacterium. Its description in RNAcentral is "partial 16S ribosomal RNA". It matches the Rfam family "Bacterial small subunit ribosomal RNA", at positions 568 to 774 of the family's 1533-position model. The record is from RNAcentral.